This 506-nucleotide ribosomal RNA is filed under the name uncultured bacterium. RNAcentral describes it as "partial 16S ribosomal RNA". It matches the Rfam family "Bacterial small subunit ribosomal RNA", at positions 29 to 523 of the family's 1533-position model. The record is from RNAcentral.
AGUGAACGCUGGCGGUAGGCCUAACUCAUGCAAGUCGAACGGCAGCACAGAGGAGCUUGCUCCUUGGGUGGCGAGUGGCGGACGGGUGAGGAAUACAUCGGAAUCUACUCUGUCGUGGGGGAUAACGUAGGGAAACUUACGCUAAUACCGCAUACGACCUACGGGUGAAAGCAGGGGAUCUUCGGACCUUGCGCGAUUGAAUGAGCCGAUGUCGGAUUAGCUAGUUGGCGGGGUAAAGGCCCACCAAGGCGACGAUCCGUAGCUGGUCUGAGAGGAUGAUCAGCCACACUGGAACUGAGACACGGUCCAGACUCCUACGGGAGGCAGCAGUGGGGAAUAUUGGACAAUGGGCGCAAGCCUGAUUCAGCCAUACCGCGUGGGUGAAGAAGGCCUUUGGGUUGUAAAGCCCUUUUGUUGGGAAAGAAAUCCAUCUGGUUAAUACCCGGGUGGGAUGACGGUACCCAAAGAAUAAGCACCGGCUAACUUCGUGCCAGCCGCCGCAGUAA